Molecule: non-coding RNA, 450 nt
Organism: Pygocentrus nattereri (red-bellied piranha)
Lineage: Eukaryota; Metazoa; Chordata; Actinopteri; Characiformes; Serrasalmidae
Source: the annotation of a RefSeq genome assembly
GCAACCAUGGCUUUGGUCUCCAUCUUCAUCUGGACGCUGACCCUCUGGACUCAAGGUUCCAGUGGUCAGGUGACUGUGACUCAGCCUCCUGUCAUUUCUUCACUUCCAAAAGAAACAGUUCAAAUCAGCUGUAAAACCAGCCCUGCAGUUUACCGCUGGAGUGGUGGAGAAGAGGGAUUAGCCUGGUAUCAGCAGAAACCUGGAGAAGCUCCUAAACUCCUGAUCUACUACGCUACCAGGAGACAGUCAGGUAUUCCAGCUCAUUUCAGUGGCAGUGGAUCUGGAUCUGACUUCACUCUGACCAUCAGUAAUGUCCAGACUGAAGAUGCAGGAGAUUAUUACUGUCUGAGUGGACACAGUAUCAGUGGUAGCUGGGUGUUCCCACAGAGUUUAGUAGGUGUACAAAAACCCCCCUCAUGCAGAACUUCCCAAGAGUCUAACUGGACCUGA